CAGUCGCCGCGGGAAAACGAAGGGUGCAAGCGUUACUCGGAAUUACUGGGCGUAAAGCGUGCGUAGGUGGUGGUUUAAGUCCGUUGUGAAAGCCCUGGGCUCAACCUGGGAAUUGCAGUGGAUACUGGGUCACUAGAGUGUGGUAGAGGAUAGUGGAAUUUCCGGUGUAGCAGUGAAAUGCGUAGAGAUCGGAAGGAACAUCUGUGGCGAAGGCGACUAUCUGGGCCAACACUGACACUGAGGCACGAAAGCGUGGGGAGCAAACAGGAUUAGAUACCCCUGUAGUCCUGUCUCUUAUACA
RNAcentral lists this ribosomal RNA (301 nucleotides) under uncultured bacterium. Its description in RNAcentral is "partial 16S ribosomal RNA". It matches the Rfam family "Bacterial small subunit ribosomal RNA", at positions 509 to 809 of the family's 1533-position model. The record is from RNAcentral.